This is a long non-coding RNA of Oreochromis niloticus (Nile tilapia), 5565 nucleotides long. RefSeq lists it as uncharacterized. NCBI's taxonomy places the organism in Eukaryota, Metazoa, Chordata, Actinopteri, Cichliformes, Cichlidae. The transcript has 3 exons. The record is from RefSeq and is a predicted model, not a curated record.
CGGAGUCACUGAUCUAAUUAACGGUUCCACACAUGACUGAAUCAUGCUAAGGUUUAGGUCACCGCUCUCCCACCUGAUAAUCCUGUUUUUUAGUUGGUUAGAUGUUAUCUUCCUCGUCACCCGAUCUGUGUCGACAGGUUUUCCGUUUGGCAGAUGUAUAUUUGGAAAAUCUUUAUCACUGUAUGAACAGUUUGUUUUUCUUUUACUAUCUUUUUAAUCCAAGAAAUUAAAAACUACUCUCUGACUGAAAGUCGUCUUUAUGCCGAUUUCAUUUUCAGAGAAGCGUUGGUUUCUAACAACGAGCACCAAACCCCAGGCAGUUUUCACAUAUUGCCAAUUUCCAACCUUUAUCCCCAUUUUGGCUUUUACAAAGCCAAUAAAAGAUUAAAAUGGCAGUUUUCUGGCUUUAAACUGUUCCUAGGCAGAGUUUUCAAACACACGUGGAUGAUUUGUUGAGUUUACCGACUGAUUUCAAAACCAGCAGUGGAUUUUCUCCGUCCUUUCAUUUUUGGUUUGGCUGACUUUGAUGUCUGACUGGUUUAUAAGAUUUCACGGCGGCUCGUCUCCAUCUGGCAGACCAAUAUUCAGACUGACGUAGCUAAUUGUUAGAAUAAAACAGCUUCCUUUGUGCCUUGUUUACCAUCCCGGGGACCGGUUUGAGGCCUGACCGAAUCUUCAGAUGACCGACAACGCGCUGCUGGACUUACACACCUCCGGUGUGGAGCAGCGGACUCUCCCGCCCAUCGAAGGCAUUCUGGGGUCUGACUUCAGGCUGGGCUCCACUGAUGUCCCAAUUUUAGACUCGUUAUUAAAGAUGACCAGCCCCUCAGCUGUGCACCUGCCAAAAACUCAUCCAAUGCGCAGUGGUGCAGGGACUGACAACCAGCAGGUCCCGGGUUUGAGUCCUCCAGCCAGCUGUGGUCGAGCUCCAGCUGCCCUGAAUGGAUGGAUUUGUUUUAUUUUAAUCAGAUCUGACCUCACUUGCUUUUGAUUUGUCAUUAAUGUAAUAAAGCACCUCUGGAAUUUGUUGUCAAGGCGAUAUAGAUAAAUGCAUGAGAAUCAUUAUUCCACUGUUGUCACACGUGGAUGCAUGAAGCAGCGUUUUGUCACGUUUGAUGAAUAAUUUGAAGUUUGGUUGUAUUUGGAUUUCACUCCCAGGUUUCCGGAUCACCUGAUGGGAUUUUUAAACCUGCUUUUUAACCAACGGCUGAUUUCGAGUAAAAUCAAGACAUUUUUGCUCAUGUUUAUUGUGUUGAGCUCCAGUCUGAGGUUAUUUUGGGUUUCCCGAGUUUUCAGCUUUAGUGACUGAUGAUGUUUUUGAUUGCCGUGUUUAUUUUCCCAACUUUUCUCCUCUCUGGUAACCGGAGCUCAGGUUCGACCGGCUGUUUUUCCGCUCUGGUUUCAAUCUAACUCUGAGCCACCCGAAUCGGACAAAUCAGUCAUGAGCAUGUUGACGGUUUCUGGAGUUUCCUGUCUGUGACAGACUGUUUCUCGGUCUUACCGCCUGGUUCGUGUGUCUGUGAUUAAAGUUGAGGGAACUAUACGACGCUCGCUGUCGGACUGAUGACUGAUGCAAGCCGUGGGUAAGUGCGUGCACGCGUGUACGUACAGCUUUGCACCAUGAUGCAAUCAUCUGUGUGUGUGUCUAUAGAUCGUUUUCACGCAUACAUACAGCAGCGUGUGUGUGUCUGUGUGCAUGUGUGUGUGCGUGUGUGCAGUAUGAUGCAAUAAUCAUGCAGAGCAGCCAGCAGAAAUCAGCUACGUACUCCAAUAAACAGAUAUCCUGGCACGGGGGAUGUGUGUGUGUGGGAGAGGGAGUACUGUACUACUGCAAAUGUGUGUACUGUUGGUGCGUGAGCGAGUGUGUAAACAAGUGUGAAAGACAAAGACAGUGUGUGUGACUGAGUACUAUUACACAUGCAAAAAGGAAAGAUUUGUAGCAGGAGGCUUGUUAGAGCAGCAGGGGAGACGAAUGCAUGUAUUUGUAUGCGUGUGUGUGCACGUGUGUGCGUGCACGUGUGUGUGCACGUGAGUGUGUGUGUGUCGACCAGCUGGUGUUCCACAUGUGGACAUGUCCUACGGAGCCAGGGACUCCAGCAGAGAGACCAACUCCUACAGUGGAUCUAUGCCCAGUUAGCGUGUGUGUAUGUUGGUAAUGUGUACGUGUGUGUGAGAGUUUGUAAAGGGCCUGCCAGUUGGUGGGUGUGUUAUGAAUGUGUUAAGUAUGUAUGAGUCAGUGUCUUUGUAUAUGUGUUUUUUCAUCCACUCACUAUCAAUGCAGUGAAUCAGAGUUGGAGUAGAAUUAACUGUGGACACGAAUCAGCGUCGAUACCGUAAACUGAAGUUAUCAAUAACAUCCAUGUUCAGGAUAGUCUCAGGGUGAGGGGUCAGUUCUUCGCUCCAUCACAGCGCGAUUUAUUAUCAGCACAAAGAACGCAAACGGAGGCCUGCUGUCACAGCGAGGACCCCGUCAGCAGCAGCAGCCAGAGCCCGACUCCAGCAGCCCACACAGUCAGUAUCAGUGUAAUCACAAUAUAAUAUACAAUCAAUAAGAGAAGUAAAUAUGUGUGACUGUAUUAAUAUGGCCACAUAUAGAGUGAGUCACAGACACUGUGUGCAGGGUUAGUGCCAAUAUUAACGUCCACUGGAGACAGCACAUGGUGAACAUUUAAAUUUCAGUCAGUAACAUGAACGUGACUGUGAUGAGUGUGAAUGCUGCGUACACUCCUGUACUGCACUUGUAUCUGGUGCUGUAGUACUGCUGUACUUCAUGCAUGAACCGCAAGUAUUUGAGUAUUUGUUGUGUAGUAUCUGUUAUCACGGAGCUGUGGCGCCGACCAAUAUGCUGCUUAAUAUUGGCUGCUUGCAAGGUCGGAUAUUUACCGUGCGUGCGUGCGUGCGUGCCUCUAGAGGCAGUGCAGUGGAGGGAAGCUAAUCCAGUAAAGUAACAGAGAACUGACAGAGUCAGAGGUCAUUAUCAUUCACACACCGCCGACCAACACACACUCACACAAGCCGUGCACAAUGCUUAAUCUGCAACACAUCCCCCACACACACUCACACGCACACAUCAGAUUCUGUUACACUGACACAAACACACACACUUUUGUCUUGCUAUUCAUGUUGCCGUUUCUUUUCUUGUUGCUUCUUUCUUUCUCGUUUACACACAUGUGAGGCAUAAAAAAAAACACUUGUUCGCCAAUUCUACCCCCACCCCCGCCCAUCUCAAGCAAACCAAACCUACAACAACCCACCCACAAACUCACACACACACACACACACACACACACACACCAGAUGGGUCUUAAUCUCCUGUUGCCAUAAACAAACACAAACCAUUCGAAGAAGCAGACAGAGAGACCACUGUGUGUCGGUGUAACUUCUUGUUGUCUAACAUCCUGUUAAUUCCUGCAACGCCGUCAAACAAAAGUCCUCUGAGUCCCACACACACACACACACACGCACAAACACACACGCACAGGCGCUGGCCUUGGACAGAGACGAGCAGAAAACAAGCUAAUGCAGCACAGAUGUAGGGUUGAUCGGAGGCCUUUGCGUUCCACGCAGCGCUGUAUUUGUGCUGUAGUAAAUAUCAGAUAUCUGUCAGUGUGGUCAUUCUCCUCCAAACACAAAGCAGGCUGGAAAAACCUCACAGGUUCUUCAGUCGGGACCGAUUCGAGCUUUUGAGUCACACUUUCUGGAAACCACUUGUCGCCCUGGUAGCUGUUAGCUCAGUCCAACAGUUUGGUCUCAGCAACAGCAGCAAAAGGCUGAACUGCCUCUAAAACCCAGAGACCUGACGCUUCAGCUCUCGCCAACGUAGCAUCUGCUCGGUUAGCGUUUGUAACUCAGCGGCUUCUUCAGCUGCUGUUUCUGAAACAUCCUCCCAGAGACAACAGCCAAGGUCAUCGGGCUUUUAUGUUCAUGCACGGCUCCAAGAUAACAAACACUUCCUGCCAGCAGUGAAGAUUCAAAGUCACACUUGAAUAACCUUUGUCCAACGUUUAACAAGUAUCAAAUGUAAACGGUCUGAAAUGGUCUUUUGUUCUUUUAAAUAAGUGAACAAAAACAGAUCGGCUUCAUCGAGCAACCACCUCCCCUGUGAUGUGGCAUCCACCUUUGAGGCGAUGGUUCUUCCUCCGUGGGUUUUAGCGGUCCAGGUUGGGGAGGACAUCUUCUCCUUCACGCUCAGUUCUCUCUUCACUGAGCGUGAAGGAGAAGCUGUUGAUCUGGUGGUUGAUUUAUGUUCCUGGCAUCAUCUAUGGCGAUGAGCUGUGGGCAGCCACCAGAAGAAUAAGGUCAGGGAUAAAAAUAACAGUAAUGAGCUUCCUCCAAAGGUCAUGAUCCCUCGCCGUACGUUGCUUUCUAGCUGACAACUGUGUAGUUUAACUCAGUGAUGCUUUUACCGCCUGCUCAUAUGGUCUGUCAGGGGGAUGUCCCAGAGGUUUUCACAUUGACCACUCGCCUCAGAGUUUACUCAUAUUGAAUUUGGGACCGCCCACUUUGCAUCACUAAUGGUUAUUUCUUCUGUUGUUGCUAACUGGUUGAAUUUCAUUGAUAUUUAACAGUCUUGAGCCAACAGGUCCAUGCUGGUCGCGUCUUCUUUUUUGAAACACAAACUCGGUAAACCUGCUGGUCAGCCACAUUGAAAGGAGGCACUCUGGGCAUGUCCAACAGGAGGACACCCUGAGGUACCCAUGCUGGAGAGGUGGCUUGGGAACGCCUUGGUCCCCCUGGAAGAGCUUAAAGAGGUGCAGAGACAGAGGGAGGUCUGCUGCCAUUGCAACCCUGACCGGGUUAAUGAGUUGAGAAAGGAGGGAGUCUGAUCAGUUUGGAGGUUUCUGAGCGUACAGUCUGGUACCAUACAAAAUUUCAGGUUGGCUGCUAAGAAAACCCCGAAACUGAGGGGCAGCCAAUCAGAAGAAAGCUAAAGCUAAAGUAGAGGCUGCCGCGACCUACCUGGACCAGCGUUACCAAAGGUUACCAAACAGGUUGAGUGCACCCGCCGACCCAGGAGCAGCCUCUUUAUGAAAGACACGCACCCUGCUCGGCUGCGAGUCUUCACGCACAAGAAUGAUUAGGAAAGAAUCAAGAUGUUGUUACAGAGAAAAACAAGCUCUGGCUUCUCAGAGAAGAUUAACAAGUGUAAUGCUGCACAGAUGUAGGCUCGGUACAACUCCCACUCUCCGCUCUGCUGAGGAAGCUGCUCAGCAAAUGUAGCAGCAUGUACGUAACAUACAUACAAACACCGACCUGCGAACCCAUUUGCACAACCAGCACGCUGCAGCACCGCACAUUAGCACAUGUCACCAAAUCUGCUCGCCUCCACUUCUGCUUCUGCUACUGAUUUACUACAUUUCCCAGAAACCUUUCAUCAAACACAGAGCUGACGUGCAUGAACUCCAGCUGAGGGUAAAAUGAAAACUCAGUAACCUCACGCUCAAGCCUGGAGAGCCGGCAUCAUUCAAACAUUCAAGACUUCAAAUGGGUACUACAAUACCCAUAAUAAAAUAAUGAUGGAUUGCAUUUAUAUAGCGCUUUUUGAGACCCUCAAAGCGCUUUACA